AUUGAACGCUGGCGGCAGGCCUAACACAUGCAAGUCGAACGGUAACAGGAAGAAGCUUGCUUCUUUGCUGACGAGUGGCGGACGGGUGAGUAAUGUCUGGGAAACUGCCUGAUGGAGGGGGAUAACUACUGGAAACGGUAGCUAAUACCGCAUAACGUCGCAAGACCAAAGAGGGGGACCUUCGGGCCUCUUGCCAUCGGAUGUGCCCAGACGGGAUUAGCUAGUAGGUGGGGUAACGGCUCACCUAGGCGACGAUCCCUAGCUGGUCUGAGAGGAUGACCAGCCACACUGGAACUGAGACACGGUCCAGACUCCUACGGGAGGCAGCAGUGGGGAAUAUUGCACAAUGGGCGCAAGCCUGAUGCAGCCAUGCCGCGUGUAUGAAGAAGGCCUUCGGGUUGUAAAGUACUUUCAGCGGGGAGGAAGGGAGUAAAGUUAAUACCUUUGCUCAUUGACGUUACCCGCAGAAGAAGCACCGGCUAACUCCGUG
RNAcentral lists this ribosomal RNA (490 nucleotides) under uncultured bacterium. RNAcentral's name for it is "partial 16S ribosomal RNA". It matches the Rfam family "Bacterial small subunit ribosomal RNA", at positions 30 to 507 of the family's 1533-position model. The record is from RNAcentral.